Molecule: long non-coding RNA, 314 nt
Organism: Eurytemora carolleeae
Lineage: Eukaryota; Metazoa; Arthropoda; Copepoda; Calanoida; Temoridae
Exons: 3
Source: RefSeq, a predicted model, not a curated record
AGUGGAUUUACAAAAAUCCGCCAAAUAGUUGCACUUCUACAUUUUUCGACCCAGAAUGAGCCUAUAUGAAAUACUGAAGGAGGAGCCAGAAAUAGUUGCUAUUAUUGGUGUGACUCUACUUUUUUUCUUUACAGCAUAUUCUGUAACUUGCUACCAUCUUGGAUUUUACUACGGAUUCUAUGAUGGGUCUCCACAAGAAGAAACUAAAUCCUCUUAAAAUUUCAGAAAGACCGAGGUUUGCUGGAAAAGAAAAAUGUUUACGAAAUAUUUGAAAAAUUAUUCAUUUUCACAGUAAUAAAAGUACAUAAAUAACA